RNAcentral lists this ribosomal RNA (880 nucleotides) under Hypotaenidia owstoni (Guam rail). Its description in RNAcentral is "partial 16S ribosomal RNA". It matches the Rfam family "Bacterial large subunit ribosomal RNA", at positions 849 to 2421 of the family's 2925-position model. The record is from RNAcentral. Lineage: Eukaryota; Metazoa; Chordata; Aves; Gruiformes; Rallidae.
CUGGUUGCCCGUGAAAUGAAUAUUAGUUCUCCCUUAAUUUUACCCCCUAGACUCGAUUACUUGCUCGUAGCAAAUUAAGAGUAAUUUAAAGGAGGUACAGCUCCUUUAAAACAGAACACAAUCUCCCCCAGAGGAUAAGCCAAAGUACUUCCAAACUUGUAGGCCUUUAAGCAGCCACCAACAAAGAGUGCGUCAAAGCUCCUCACACCAAAAAUAUAAAACUUUACGCGACUCCCUCACCCAUAACGGGCUAACCUAUCAAAUAUAGGAGCAUUAAUGCUAAAAUAAGUAACUAAGGACCUUCCUUCUAAAGCACAAACUUACAUUUUCACAUUAUUAACAGGCCCACUAAUAGACCAAUCACUACAAGACUGCCUAUCUAAUACCCUGUUAGACCAACCCAGGAGUGCUCAACUAGAAAGAUUCAAACCUGUAAAAGGAACUAGGCAAACCCAAGGCCCGACUGUUUACCAAAAACAUAGCCUUCAGCAAAACAACCAAGUAUUGAAGGUGAUGCCUGCCCAGUGACAUUAAGUUCAACGGCCGCGGUAUCCUAACCGUGCAAAGGUAGCGCAAUCAAUUGUCCCAUAAAUCGAGACUUGUAUGAACGGCCAAACGAGGUCUUAACUGUCUCUUACAGGUAAUCAGUGAAAUUGAUCUCCCCGUGCAAAAGCAGGGAUAAACCCAUAAGACGAGAAGACCCUGUGGAACUUAAAAACCAACAGCCACUCUAAAAACUCAAACCCCCAUAGGGCCUACUACCAAUAGACGAUUGGCUCACAUUUUUCGGUUGGGGCGACCUUGGAGAAAAACGUAUCCUCCAAAAAUAAGACCAUCCAUCCUAACCAAGAUCAACCACUCAAAGUGCUAACAGUAACCA